This 80-nucleotide transfer RNA is filed under the name Nyctotherus ovalis. RNAcentral describes it as "transfer RNA-Tyr". It matches the Rfam family "tRNA". Rfam says of the family: Transfer RNA (tRNA) molecules are approximately 80 nucleotides in length. Their secondary structure includes four short double-helical elements and three loops (D, anti-codon, and T loops). The record is from RNAcentral. Lineage: Eukaryota; Ciliophora; Armophorea; Clevelandellida; Nyctotheridae.
GGCGGUGUGGCCGAGUGGUAAAGGCGCCGGACUGUAAAUCCGGUGGUUCAUCCGUGUGGGUUCGAUUCCUUCCACCGCCA